CCUUCCUCAUCUCUCUGCUCUCUCCGAAAUCACCACUUCCCGGCCACUACCACACUACACCGCCACCACCAUUUGAAUCAUAACACAAACCCGACCAAGACCCAGUCGUUUCGCCGUCGAUCAAGACGUUCCGGUCACCGCACUCAACCUCCAAACCUGCGACGCCACUGUUCCACGACCCUCACCGAUUUCCAGGCAUCCCUUUACCACACCACCAUCACCGCUGCACUCAGCGAGCAAUGGAGAAGAAAACCCAGAGGUUCAGUCACCCACUGAUGCCGGACGAGGCCGUACAAGUCGUCGCCGGAAUCUGGGAUUCUGCAAGUAUCGAUUCGUCGUUUCCGGCCACUCGAGCUGCACAACCACCAUAGUUGGAAUCAGAGCCUCCUCAUUCUUCAAAACCCUUUGGUCCCGACCUUUGCUUUGGCCAGAACCGCUGCAUGCGCUGCCGCUGCUUUGUGGACCACCGUGGCUCCGCCACCGG
RNAcentral lists this long non-coding RNA (484 nucleotides) under Rosa chinensis. RNAcentral describes it as "sRNA RchiOBHm_Chr7g0238081". Lineage: Eukaryota; Viridiplantae; Streptophyta; Magnoliopsida; Rosales; Rosaceae. The record is from RNAcentral.